This 575-nucleotide ribosomal RNA is filed under the name Geomyza tripunctata. RNAcentral's name for it is "eukaryotic LSU rRNA". The record is from RNAcentral. Lineage: Eukaryota; Metazoa; Arthropoda; Insecta; Diptera; Opomyzidae.
AGAGUACGUGAAACUGCUUAGAGGUUAAGCCCGAUGAACCUGAAUAUCCAUUAUGGAAAAUUCAUCAUUAAUAUUUAUAAUAUAUUUAUAAUAUUAUAAUAAUAGUGUGCAAUUUUUCCAUAUAAGGACAUUGUAAUCUAUUAACAUAUACAUAUACAUUUAUUAUAAGAUCACUAGCUUUAUGUUUAUUCAAAUUAAUUUGCAGUUAUGCUUAUUAACACAGAAUAAAUGUUGGUGAUUUAAUAAAGUGUUGAUAGAUUUAUUUUAUAUAGUGCUUAAAUUUAUUUCGAUAAAUUUUAUAAUAACAUAUUCAAUCAAUGAUUGUUUUUGUUCAUUAUAUGCGCUUAUAUGAUUAACAAUGCGAAAGAUUCAGGAUACCUUCGGGACCCGUCUUGAAACACGGACCAAGGAGUCUAACAUAUGUGCAAGUCAUUGGGAUUGUAAAAACCCAAUGGCGUAAUUAACUUAACUUGUUUUAUAUAUGGGAUUAGUUUUUAGAUCUAUUUUCUGAAUAGUCUAUUAAUUCAAUCCCGGGGCGUUCCAUAUAGUUAUGUAUAAUUAAUAUUUAUAUUAUU